This is a long non-coding RNA of Sciurus carolinensis (gray squirrel), 442 nucleotides long. RefSeq lists it as uncharacterized. The record is from RefSeq and is a predicted model, not a curated record. The transcript is spliced from 3 exons. NCBI's taxonomy places the organism in Eukaryota, Metazoa, Chordata, Mammalia, Rodentia, Sciuridae.
UGCUCCUCCUGUUUUGUCUCUUUUGCACACACCCACCUGCCCUUCCACUUUCCUGCAUGAGUUGAAGCAGCAUGAGAAGCCAAGCAGAUGCCAAAACCAUGCUAUGGACUUCCCAGCCUCCAGAACUGUGUUAUUCAAAUAAAGACUUCUCAGAAACAUUCAGAAAAGCAGCUAGACCUGGAUAUGGCCCAAUGGGUGGACCUCUGAGCCUGCAAGCCUAGGAGAUAAUUCCAGGGUGAAAAUCCUUGCACUGAGAAUGUAUUGGCUUUUGUCUCAGUUGGGAAAAUCCUGCUAAUGCACUGCAAGAAGUUGAUGACUCAGGAAGCUGCCAUUUCUACUAUUGAUCGCCUGAGUCCUGGACACCUGUCUUCGUUGUAAUACCACCUGCUCCAUCUAGAAGGCAAAAGGUGAAUCAGGAUGUUAUUGCUUCUAAAGAAUCAUC